AUUUAAAUGAGUAGUUAUUGUUGCAAACUCCAUUAGAAAUUUUAAUUGAGAUUAGUUUUGGAAUAAGGGAAAGGGGGAUGUGAUUAAAAAAAUUGGGUUCAAUUUUUCUCAUUUGAAAUUUCAUAAAUAAAAAAGAAAAUUUCUUCAAACAUUUUUAUGCCCCAACUACGAUAGUAGAGGGGCAUUAUGUUUUCUGGUCUGUGCGUCCGUCCGUCUGUCCGUUUGUCCGUCCGUCCGUUCGUCCGUCCGUCUGUCCCGCUUCAGGUUAAAGUUUUUGGUCAAGGUAGUUUUUGAUGAAGUUUAAGUCCAAUCGACUUUAAACUUAGUACACAUGUCCCCUAUGAUAUGAUCUUUCUAAUUUUAAUGCCAAAUUAGAGUUUUUACCCCAAUUUCACGGUCCACUGAACAUGGAAAAUGAUAGUGCGAGUGGGGCAUUCGUGUACUGAGGACACAUUCUUG
Molecule: long non-coding RNA, 459 nt
Filed under: Mytilus galloprovincialis (Mediterranean mussel)
Lineage: Eukaryota; Metazoa; Mollusca; Bivalvia; Mytilida; Mytilidae
Source: RNAcentral